AUAUUUUUGGACGCAUAUUUACAUCUUUUUAUUUGAUUCCUUCUUUAAUUUGUGCAUAAAAACACCUUUUUGUGGGGAUCCUCUUGAUAAUUUUGCAUCUGGACGGUACAGUGCACAAGGUCUUAAGGCAUGGGGUGUUCUUGAGUGAGAAGCAAUGAAGAUUGAGUGAGAAGAUCUGAUUACUUGAUUUUCGUUGCGCGUUUUUUUUGCAGAUGAAGAUUGAGUGAGAAGAUCUGAAUACUUGAUUUUCAUUGUGCGUUUGGUGCUGGGUUUUUAUAUUAUCAGUUUGAUUUGAAAACUCAUAUUUGAUUUUUGCUCUCAAUCUGAACAAGGGAGGAAAACGAACCCCUGUACAAGCUGUAACUCUAUGGGUACGAAGACAACCUCCAAUGGUGGAAAGCUUUUCUUGCUGUGAUUACAGGAAUGGCUGCUUUAGUUUAACUCACUCAUCUAUUCCUGCUUCUCCUCCUCCAAACCUGGUAAUCUCCUCCUCCAAUUCGUUCUUAUUUCUUUUGAUUUUUCUGAUAUUGAUUUGGUUUUGAAGAAACAAUAACUCAAAUCGUCAUCUUCAUUUUCAGGUAACCAGGUUUAUUUUUUGAUUUUUCAGCAAUUUAUCCUUUUUACUUGCUUUUUUUUGUAGGUUUUAAUGGGGAUUUUAUAAGGGGGUUUACUUUGAGUAAUUUACUAACUUCAUCAUCAUCUUCAUUUUGAUGCUUGAUUAUCUUCAACUUUCUCCUAUUGUUCGUUGACCUUUUUGGGUAUUUCAUGUUCUCUCCUUUAUUUAUUGAAUUUGAUUUUAAAUGUAAAUUCUUCAAUCUAAUGAUUCCGAAUAUUGUUUUUGAUUUUUGGGUUUUUGUUUGCAAAUGAAUUGAACCCCAAAUUUAUUCUGUUUUUAAUUUAGUCUUUUUACAAUUAUAUUUUUUAUGUAAAUAAAAUCUCAUUACUUAGGUUUUAUGGUAAAAACCAGAGUAAAUUAUAACUUAGGAGCUGUGCUUCAUCUAUUCUGAUUUCUGAUUAAUUUUGAGAUCUAAGUUUAAUUUAUUUACUUUGUCUAUGCUAUUUUGUCUAUGAUUUAUUUCGAUGAGCUAAAUAUUUAUAGUUUUUUGGUUUUUAUUUUAAGCGAACAAAUUAAAAUAAAUUAUUAAAUUAUGUGCACUAUUUUUUACAUGUGACGUUUGCUACCAAGUACCAAGAAGCAACAUUCGAUCCUUUCAAACCCUAUACACGAGAGUAAUUGAUUCAUUUCCAACAACCUAAUGUUAUUAUUGUAACACAAUUUGCUAAAUUAGCCCAACUCGGGUACUUAUGUUAGACCCGGUUACAUGACCGAGUGCCAAUGAGAGUAGUGUCUAAUCUCCGUCACCUAUCUUUAAGUGUUGAAAAAUGAUAUGGUUGGUCGAUUCGAUAAUAGAUCCCAGACAGGAAUUAGUAUUCAAUCUGUCCAUUGGAUUUCAGGUGACGAUAGCAGGAAAGGCUGCUGUUAUUUUACUUGCUCCUCACAAAGCCUUUAACUGAGCAGCAUGGAACAGGGCGUUGUUGAUUGCCAUGGGAAUUGUAAGGAAGCUUUUGCCUGAGAAGAAAACCCAGAAAAGGGUUGCAUUGCCCAUCGAUAUUCAAUACUCAUAAGGUUGACAGAACAUCCACAAACGAGGAGAUGAACAAAUUGAUUAAUGAGGAUGAUCAAGAACAGGCGGUUUGAAAUUAAUUAUCGUAUCUGGUAUACCAUUUUAUGAGGUCUUUUAAAGGUAGUGAAAAUCAAACCGAGCUGUUAAAUGGUAUGAGAGCAAGUAGUCUAUGGAAUUGAAAUUAGAUUGUAGAAGUAUUUAUCCCUUAAAAGUGUGUUCUGUAAUCAGGUGAUUAUAUAUUGUCAAAUUCAUAGCUUGAUCAGAUUUUCAUAAAGUAUAAUUACUCUUAAUUGUAAAUGACUUGGAUGAUUGGAUCCUACUUCACAUAAGUGUCACUGGAGGUGUUCAACGGGACGGAUCGAUCUAACGGGUUAAGAAUUAGGUCACAUUUUAACGGGUUAUUAGCGGGCUUUGGUGUAAAAGGUCGGGCUAGGCUGCAUAAUUUUAAGGAUUAAUUGCAAAAAAAAUUGCUACUUUUUUAUUAACAGCCAUUGGUAUGAAGGGUCGGGCCGAGCUGCAUAAUUAUAAGAAUUAAUUGCGAAAAAAAUUGCUACUUUUUAAAUAUUUUUAAAUGAUAUAUUAUAUAUAUAUAUAUAUAUACAAGUGAGUUGAUCCAACGAACCAUAAUGUAUAAUAAAAAAACUAUUUUAUGAAUUUUUAAAAAGGGUCAAAAUGAAUUGGACUUAAAUGGGUUUUGACCUGGAUUGGACUUAAAUGGGUUUUGACCCACUCCAGCCCAUUUAACAUUUUACAUGACUCGUUCCGAUCCGGUUUAUUUAAAUUUUGACCUUAGAAUUUGUUACUUUGCCAAAUAAUCAAGUUUCACAACUUCUUAGAUAAAUAUAAAACAUCAAUGAUUAUAUUAUAAUAAUAAUAAUAAUUAUUAUUAUUAUUAUCUCCUUCUGGUUCUGGUUUCCCUUUUGAAGUCCUAAAGGAGGUAUUAAUUUGCUUUUUAAAAAGUUUGGUAUCAUUAUUAUUAUUAUAAGUGUGUUGAACUUAACUGUUAGGCUAUUUUUAUGCAUAGUUCUGCAAAUGCUGGAGUUCAGACUCGAGUUAAUGAUUUUUGCAUUAGAAUUUUGGGAUUAUUUUUUUUGGAGAUAGUAGCUAAUCCUAUUAUUUAAAUCAUUGUGCAAUUGGGUGUUCUUCAUAUCAAACAAGAAGUUUUGGCUUAAAAAAGUAAAAUUAAUUCUAGAUAGAUUUUAUUCAUUGAUGCUCAAGGCUUAUAUAAUUUCAACUUGGGGAUAAUCAUUUUAAUUUCAAAUAAAGUCUCAUGGUAAUAUAGCUCAAUUAAGUGCAGUUUAAAGUUAAUAACUUUAGCUGUUUUUAGGUGAAAAAAGAUUAUAAUUGUGUAUGAUUUUACAAUACCCUCUUUUGUUUUUUUGUUUUGUAAGGGGGUUUCAAUGGUUCAGAUUGGGUUCGAGAUAGGGGAACGGGAGUGGGUAUAAGUGGUGGUUAUCAGGAUGAGGGAAGGAUAAAGGGUGUCUGGCGAUAGGGGUGUGGAAGGCGGUGCGUGGAGAUAUGGAGGAAGGAAUGGAUGGUUGUGAUGGAGCAUUAGAGGUCUGGCCAACAAUCAUAGCCUUUUAAUGUACUGUGACAGCCGUCUACUUUUUUUUUGCCAACAAUCAUCUCCUUUUAGGUGCUUCUUCGGAUGGAACAGUUCGUGCAUGGGACCUUUUCUGAUACCGAAACUUCAGGACAAUCACUACUCUAUUUUCUAGGCAAUUUAUUUCAUUGACUGCUGAUCAAAGUGGUAAAAUUAUAUGUGUUGAAACUUUAGAUUCAUUUAAGGUCUCUAUGAUUUAAUAUAUAUCUUUCACUUUUAUGAUAGUAUUGUGUUUAGAACUUUUCUAAUACAGUGUGUUCUUUCUUUGUAUAGGUUUUUCUUUGGACAAUGAAAACACAAUGCUCACUUGAUGUGUCAAGUGUUCAUGAAGGUCAUUAUGUAAAUAUAUUAUUUCAAGCAAAGAAGAAGAAGCAAGCAAAGAAUCGGAUCAAACUAGGAUGCGCGGCCCGCAGAGUUUUACGCAGCACGCGCACGUCAGCCUGUAGGUUAGGCGGCUAUUUCACUUUUUUCAUUUCGGCUUUCAUUUUCAAUUGGAUAUUUAGAGGGGUUUAGGAGGCGACUUGCAGAGAGGAAUGAUGAGCAAAUCCAAUAGCAAGAAGCUUCAUCAAAUCUUUAUAAAUAGGCAAGAAAGCUUAGGAAUGGUAUCAUCCUGUAAUUUUUCAUUAAAAUACUUCUUUUUCAUUUUUGUUUUGCCAUGAUUAUGGAGCUUCAAGCUUAAAUUUUCAUUUCUUGUGGAAGGUUGAGUGGAAACUUCUAAUUACUCAUUGUAAA
Molecule: long non-coding RNA, 3960 nt
Organism: Amaranthus tricolor (Joseph's coat)
Lineage: Eukaryota; Viridiplantae; Streptophyta; Magnoliopsida; Caryophyllales; Amaranthaceae
Exons: 3
Source: RefSeq, a predicted model, not a curated record